Molecule: ribosomal RNA, 478 nt
Filed under: uncultured bacterium
Lineage: Bacteria
Description: partial 16S ribosomal RNA
Rfam family: Bacterial small subunit ribosomal RNA
Source: RNAcentral
GAUGAACGCUGGCGGCGUGCUUAACACAUGCAAGUCGAACGAGAAGUGAAGACGGAAACCUUCGGGCGGAAGGCUUUAUUUCGAGUGGCGGACGGGUGAGUAACGCGUGGGUAACCUGCCUCAUACAGGGGGAUAACAGUUGGAAACGACUGUUAAUACCGCAUAAGACCACAGCACCGCAUGGUGCGGGGGUAAAAACUCCGGUGGUAUGAGAUGGACCCGCGUUCGAUUAGCCAGUUGGCGGGGUAACGGCCCACCAAAGCGACGAUCGAUAGCCGAGCUGAGAGGAUGACCGGCCACAUUGGGACUGAGACACGGCCCAAACUCCUACGGGAGGCAGCAGUGGGGAAUAUUGCACAAUGGGGGAAACCCUGAUGCAGCGACGCCGCGUGAGUGAAGAAGUAUUUCGGUAUGUAAAGCUCGAUCAGCAGGGAAGAAAAUGACGGUACCUGAGGAAGAAGCCCCGGCUAACUACGUG